GUCAGUUUUCUGUUUGCUCAUUCCGUGCGUAGUAGUAUUGUUAUUAUUAAAAUUUGCUGUCGAACGCAGGGAAAUCAACUACGUAAUUUGCUUUGCUGAACUUUUGUGUAAGUUUGCACGCGUUUAACCAAAGACAUUACAUACUUUUUAAAUUACACUUAAUCGAAGUUGAAGAACUAAUUCUGAAUUAUUGGUUUUUUUUUCUGGUUUUACAAAACCUUUGAGUGAAAAACCAACGCAUUACGUUGACGUCAUUGGGAGUUCUUUUUCGGGGAACUUGGAGAAGGUGGAGAUAAAAUAUGAGGGCAAAGAAAUCGAAGUUGGAAGCAGAAACGGGCGUCAGCAGGGAGAUUGUUUGAUUUACAAGUGCACUUGGACUAGAAAUAGAUACAGGCUGCAGGUUCAGAUACAGAUACAGAUACCAGAAACAGAUACAUCUAAUGUAUCUAACUGUGAACGGGUGCGAGGGAGAUGGCCCUCGUACCCCCACACACACACACACACUCGCAUAGAUCUAUAACUGUUGUUAUUUAAUUGGAUUAUCAUUGAGAAGGCAGCUAGCGAACGAUUCCCAGCUAGUCACAAUUUCCAAUUAGACUUCCGAAUGAGACGGGGAGAGCUGAAUCCAAUUGGAACAACAAAGCGUAUAGGUGUAAAAUGUUACAGCAAAAAAUAUUCAUUAAACCUCUCAAAAAAUGAUAUUUUUAAAAGAAAGAAAGUAUUUGAGAUUCAGUUAUAAUCACAUGGGUAAAACAAUACAACUGCUAAUCGAAACUUUUGAAACGUGGCUAUAGAAUCUAUAUUUAUUUAUUCGCUUUACAAUCUACUUUCGCCAUGAUCGCUAUCAUCAGCUCUCUUUUUUUGUUUCUUUCUCUAUUUGUUCAUUUUUCGUUAUCAGCUUGUGUUUCUAUAUACUCU
This is a long non-coding RNA of Drosophila ficusphila, 918 nucleotides long. RefSeq lists it as uncharacterized. NCBI's taxonomy places the organism in Eukaryota, Metazoa, Arthropoda, Insecta, Diptera, Drosophilidae. The record is from RefSeq and is a predicted model, not a curated record. The transcript has 3 exons.